GAGGGCAUAGCUCAGUGGUAGAGUGUGUGCCUACAUGCACAAGGUCCUGGGUUCAAUCCCAGUACUUCCA
Molecule: transfer RNA, 70 nt
Filed under: Camelus bactrianus (Bactrian camel)
Lineage: Eukaryota; Metazoa; Chordata; Mammalia; Artiodactyla; Camelidae
Also listed under: 2 other names
Rfam family: tRNA
About the family: Transfer RNA (tRNA) molecules are approximately 80 nucleotides in length. Their secondary structure includes four short double-helical elements and three loops (D, anti-codon, and T loops).
Source: Rfam by way of RNAcentral